This 254-nucleotide ribosomal RNA is filed under the name uncultured bacterium. RNAcentral's name for it is "partial 16S ribosomal RNA". It matches the Rfam family "Bacterial small subunit ribosomal RNA", at positions 524 to 776 of the family's 1533-position model. The record is from RNAcentral.
UACGAAGGGGGCUAGCGUUGUUCGGAUUUACUGGGCGUAAAGCGCACGUAGGCGGUUUGUUAAGUGAGAGGUGAAAUCCCAGAGCUCAACUCUGGAACUGCCUUUCAUACUGGCAAGCUAGAGUCCGGAAGAGGUAAGUGGAACUCCUAGUGUAGAGGUGGAAUUCGUAGAUAUUAGGAAGAACACCAGUGGCGAAGGCGGCUUACUGGUCCGGAACUGACGGCUGAGGUGCGAAAGCGUGGGGAGCAAACAGG